This is a long non-coding RNA of Heterocephalus glaber (naked mole-rat), 709 nucleotides long. RefSeq lists it as uncharacterized. The record is from RefSeq and is a predicted model, not a curated record. NCBI's taxonomy places the organism in Eukaryota, Metazoa, Chordata, Mammalia, Rodentia, Bathyergidae.
UAGAACUAUCCAGUCAAUAAGGCCAGCAGACCAGGUUUGGAGCUCUGCUCAAAAAGUGCUGAUUUGAAGCACUAUCAUUAUGUGACCAUCUGGCAGUUUCCUGGAAAACUAUCAUUUGAAGGACCCAUUAUUUGACCUGACUCAGCAACUCACUGGGGAAAGCCUUAUUCCCAGGGAAUGUGCCUAAAUCAGUCAGUGACAACUAUACAACAUGUAACAUUGCAGCUGCCUGAGGCUGCAAUACCAGUUGAGGGGUCAUGAAACAUCUACUUCAAGAGUUGUUAUGCUGAUUAAAUGCAAUUAUGAAGCUCCUGAACCAGCAGUCCUUCCCGGCACAGGUUUGAACUCCUUCUUAUCAGUUGCUAGUCCAGCUUUCUUACCAUGUACCAGCUCUACUUUUUCUGAACAUUCUUUGAUCUGGAAAAUGAAAGUGAGAUGAACACGUAAGUCCAACUUUGAAACAUAACAACCCAACAGCCAGGCCAGUAAGACAUUUUGCUGCCAGAGCUACCAACAUGACAUUGGUGUCCUUUCCAACAACCUACAAUGGAAGAAAAAGGAAAACAAGACAGUCACAACUGUGUAGAAGAGUACUGAAAAACAUUCUCAAAAGAACUCUGAAAGCUACUGUGCUAAUGGAUGAUCCAUCUUAUUUCCUAUAAAAGAGGAAACCUUAUUCCUCUUUGAUAAUAAUGAAUCUAGAAGCCUU